Molecule: ribosomal RNA, 253 nt
Filed under: uncultured bacterium
Lineage: Bacteria
Description: partial 16S ribosomal RNA
Rfam family: Bacterial small subunit ribosomal RNA
Source: RNAcentral
UACAGAGGUCUCAAGCGUUGUUCGGAUUCAUUGGGCGUAAAGGGUGCGUAGGCGGCGCGGUAAGUCGGGUGUGAAAUCUCGGAGCUUAACUCCGAAACUGCAUUCGAUACUGCCGUGCUUGAGGACUGGAGAGGAGACUGGAAUUCAUGGUGUAGCAGUGAAAUGCGUAGAUAUCAGGAGGAAUACCGGUGGUGUAGACGGCUCUCUGGACCGCAACUGACGCUGAAACACGAAAGCGUGGGUAGCAAACAGG